CUAACUGGAGGACCGAACCGACUAAUGUUGAAAAAUUAGCGGAUGACUUGUGGCUGGGGGUGAAAGGCCAAUCAAACCGGGAGAUAGCUGGUUCUCCCCGAAAGCUAUUUAGGUAGCGCCUCGUGAACUCAUCUUCGGGGGUAGAGCACUGUUUCGGCUAGGGGGUCAUCCCGACUUACCAACCCGAUGCAAACUACGAAUACCGAAGAAUGUUAUCACGGGAGACACACGGCGGGUGCUAACGUCCGUCGUGAA
RNAcentral lists this ribosomal RNA (255 nucleotides) under Klebsiella aerogenes. RNAcentral describes it as "partial 23S ribosomal RNA". It matches the Rfam family "Bacterial large subunit ribosomal RNA", at positions 762 to 1014 of the family's 2925-position model. Lineage: Bacteria; Pseudomonadati; Pseudomonadota; Gammaproteobacteria; Enterobacterales; Enterobacteriaceae. The record is from RNAcentral. RNAcentral also lists the same sequence under 13 other names.